RNAcentral lists this ribosomal RNA (506 nucleotides) under uncultured bacterium. Its description in RNAcentral is "partial 16S ribosomal RNA". It matches the Rfam family "Bacterial small subunit ribosomal RNA", at positions 28 to 523 of the family's 1533-position model. The record is from RNAcentral.
GAUGAACGCUAGCUACAGGCUUAACACAUGCAAGUCGAGGGGUAACGAGAGGGAAGCUUGCCUUCCUUGUCGACGACCGGCGCACGGGUGAGUAACGCGUAUCCAACCUGCCCCCAACUAGGGAAUAACCUUGCGAAAGUAAGACUAAUACCCUAUAAUUUCCUCAGAUGUCAUCUGACGAGGAAUAAAGAUUUAUCGGUUGUGGAUGGGGAUGCGUCUGAUUAGCUUGUUGGCGGGGUAACGGCCCACCAAGACAACGAUCAGUAGGGGUUCUGAGAGGAAGGUCCCCCACAUUGGAACUGAGACACGGUCCAAACUCCUACGGGAGGCAGCAGUGAGGAAUAUUGGUCAAUGGGCGGAAGCCUGAACCAGCCAAGUAGCGUGCAGGAUGACGGCCCUAUGGGUUGUAAACUGCUUUUAUACAGGAAUAAAGUUAGCCACGUGUGGUUAUUUGUAGGUACUGUAUGAAUAAGGACCGGCUAAUUCCGUGCCAGCCGCCGCCGUAA